CUACGGGUCGCUCCAGGCGAGAAAACUUUGCAAUGUGCGAAAGCACGACAAGGUUAAUCCGAGUGGUUUGUGCUAAACGAACCUUUUGACAGUCCUAGAAACACUGUUGAAUAAGGGGUGGGCAAGUUCUGGUGUCAGCCGCCGCGGUAAAACCAGCACCUCAAGUGGUCAGGAUGAUUAUUGGGCCUAAAGCAUCCGUAGCCGGCUCUGUAAGUUUUCGGUUAAAUCUGUACGCUAAACGUACAGGCUGCCGGGACUACUGGAGAGCUAGGGAGUGGGAGAGGUAGACGGUACUCGGUAGGAAGGGGUAAAAUCCUUUGAUCUAUUGAUGACCACCUGUGGCGAAGGCGGUCUACCAGAACACGUCCGACGGUGAGGGAUGAAAGCUGGGGGAGCAAACCGGAUUAGAUACCCGAGUAGUC
RNAcentral lists this ribosomal RNA (422 nucleotides) under uncultured archaeon. Its description in RNAcentral is "partial 16S ribosomal RNA". It matches the Rfam family "Archaeal small subunit ribosomal RNA", at positions 323 to 746 of the family's 1478-position model. The record is from RNAcentral.